GUGCCAGCAGCCGCGGUAAUACGGAGGGGGCAAGCGUUGCUCGGAAUUACUGGGCGUAAAGGGUCCGCAGGCUGUCAGGCAAGUUGGUUGUGAAAGCUCAAGGCUUAACCUUGGAAUUGCAUCCAAAACUGCCUGACUAGAGUCCAAGAGAGGUUGGCGGAAUUCCCGGUGUAGCGGUGAAAUGCAUAGAUAUCGGGAGGAACACCAGAGGCGAAGGCGGCCAACUGGCUUGGUACUGACGCUCAGGGACGAAAGCGUGGGUAGCAAACCGGAUUAGAUACCCGGGUAGUCCACGCCCUAAACGAUGGAUGCUAGGUAGGGGGAAUUUAUUUCUCCCUGCCGUAGUUAACGCAUUAAGCAUCCCGCCUGGGGAGUACGGUCGCAAGGCUGAAACUCAAAGAAAUUGGCGG
This 410-nucleotide ribosomal RNA is filed under the name uncultured bacterium. RNAcentral describes it as "bacterial SSU rRNA". It matches the Rfam family "Bacterial small subunit ribosomal RNA", at positions 505 to 916 of the family's 1533-position model. The record is from RNAcentral.